RNAcentral lists this ribosomal RNA (555 nucleotides) under uncultured bacterium. RNAcentral's name for it is "partial 16S ribosomal RNA". It matches the Rfam family "Bacterial small subunit ribosomal RNA", at positions 355 to 900 of the family's 1533-position model. The record is from RNAcentral.
UAGGGAAUCUUCCACAAUGGACGAAAGUCUGAUGGAGCAACGCCGCGUGAGUGAUGAAGGGUUUCGGCUCGUAAAACUCCGUUGUUGGAGAAGAACGGGUGUCAGAGUAACUGUUGACAUCGUGACGGUAUCCAACCAGAAAGCCACGGCUAACUACGUGCCAGCAGCCGCGGUAAUACGUAGGUGGCAAGCGUUGUCCGGAUUUAUUGGGCGUAAAGCGAGCGCAGGCGGUUUUUUAGGUCUGAUGUGAAAGCCUUCGGCUUAACCGGAGAAGUGCAUCGGAAACCGGGAGACUUGAGUGCAGAAGAGGACAGUGGAACUCCAUGUGUAGCGGUGAAAUGCGUAGAUAUAUGGAAGAACACCAGUGGCGAAGGCGGCUGUCUGGUCCGCAACUGACGCUGAGGCUCGAAAGCAUGGGUAGCGAACAGGAUUAGAUACCCUGGUAGUCCAUGCCGUAAACGAUGAGUGCUAAGUGUUGGGAGGCUUCCGCCUCUCAGUGCUGCAGCUAACGCAUUAAGCACUCCGCCUGGGGGAGUACGACCGCAAGGUUGAAAC